This 85-nucleotide non-coding RNA is filed under the name Candidatus Sodalis pierantonii str. SOPE. The record is from RNAcentral. Lineage: Bacteria; Pseudomonadati; Pseudomonadota; Gammaproteobacteria; Enterobacterales; Bruguierivoracaceae.
CUCAAUGGUGGGCUGGAUGGGGCAGCCGAAAAGCUGGCCGGAUGACAAUCCCGGUAAGACCAACUCCGUUCAGUUCACCACCCUA